Molecule: ribosomal RNA, 257 nt
Filed under: uncultured prokaryote
Description: partial 16S ribosomal RNA
Rfam family: Bacterial small subunit ribosomal RNA
Source: RNAcentral
UAAUACAGAGGGUGCGAGCGUUGUCCGGAAUCACUGGGCGUAAAGGGCGCGUAGGCGGCUUGAUAAGCGUGCGGUGAAAGCCCGGGGCUCAACCCCGGGUCGGCCGUGCGAACUGUCGAGCUGGAGCACUGUAGAGGCAGGUGGAAUUCCGGGUGUAGCGGUGGAAUGCGUAGAGAUCCGGAAGAACACCGGUGGCGAAGGCGGCCUGCUGGGCAGUGGCUGACGCUGAGGCGCGACAGCGUGGGGAGCAAACAGGA